AGUGAACGCUGGCGGUAGGCCUAACACAUGCAAGUCGAACGGCAACACAUUAAGAGCUUGCUCUUACGGGUGGCGAGUGGCGGACGGGUGAGGAAUAAAUCGGCAUCUACUUUUUCGUGGGGGAUAACGUAGGGAAACUUACGCUAAUACCGCAUACGACCUACGGGUGAAAGCAGGGGAUCUUCGGACCUUGCGCGAUUGAAUGAGCCGAUGUCGGAUUAGCUAGUUGGCGGGGUAAAGGCCCACCAAGGCGACGACCCGUAGCUGGUCUGAGAGGAUGAUCAGCCACACUGGAACUGAGCCACGGUCCAGGCUCCUACGGGAGGCAGCAGUGGGGAAUAUUGGACAAUGGGCGCAAGCCUGAUCCAGCCAUACCGCGUGGGUGAAGAAGGCCUUCGGGUUGUAAAGCCCUUUUGUUGGGAAAGAAAAGCAGCAGGUUAAUACCCCGCUGUUCUGACGGUACCCAAAGAAUAAGCACCGGCUAACUUCGUG
RNAcentral lists this ribosomal RNA (492 nucleotides) under uncultured bacterium. Its description in RNAcentral is "partial 16S ribosomal RNA". It matches the Rfam family "Bacterial small subunit ribosomal RNA", at positions 29 to 507 of the family's 1533-position model. The record is from RNAcentral.